CAACUCCAUAUCUCCAUAUCGUAAAUCAGUUUACAGAAUCUCCAAAACAACACUGCAAAGAGACGAUGAUCUCGAUACAAGACAGCGAUCGAGGCGUGUCUGUGAAUGAAGGAGAAGGAGAAGAUCAGGUCCGCUUGACGGGGUCGAAGUUGGAGACGGCGACGACGGCGCCGACGAUGGCGACGAGCACGACCCCGCCGGACACGAUGCUGAGGAGGAAGUUCUUGAGCGACGGCGUCAGGCUGCCCUGCGCGGCCUCCGCGACGUCGGGGAGGACCAUCGCCGCCGCCAUGGCCGCGGCCGUCAGCCCGGCCGUCGCCCUCUCCUUCAUCGACGCCGACGCCCUCACGGCCAUCCUCGCCGCCGCCGCCGGCCUCGCCCUCGGCACGGGCUGGAACGAGGCGCACAGGGGCUUCUUGAGCCAGGCCACGGACAGUGGCCGCGCCGCGACGGCGGACAGCGACGCGGUUGUGGCCAUGGAGGAUGAAGAAGAAGAACUCGCGGUGCUUUCUUGGCGCGAGAGCGAGACGAGGUGCAAGUGUGUGGG
RNAcentral lists this unclassified non-coding RNA (547 nucleotides) under Hevea brasiliensis (rubber tree). Lineage: Eukaryota; Viridiplantae; Streptophyta; Magnoliopsida; Malpighiales; Euphorbiaceae. The record is from RNAcentral.